RNAcentral lists this ribosomal RNA (506 nucleotides) under uncultured bacterium. Its description in RNAcentral is "partial 16S ribosomal RNA". It matches the Rfam family "Bacterial small subunit ribosomal RNA", at positions 29 to 523 of the family's 1533-position model. The record is from RNAcentral.
AGUGAACGCUGGCGGUAGGCCUAACACAUGCAAGUCGAACGGCAGCACAGAGGAGCUUGCUCCUUGGGUGGCGAGUGGCGGACGGGUGAGGAAUACAUCGGAAUCUACUCUGUCGUGGGGGAUAACGUAGGGAAACUUACGCUAAUACCGCAUACGACCUACGGGUGAAAGCAGGGGAUCUUCGGACCUUGCGCGAUUGAAUGAGCCGAUGUCGGAUUAGCUAGUUGGCGGGGUAAAGGCCCACCAAGGCGACGAUCCGUAGCUGGUCUGGAGGGAUGAUCAGCCACAGUGGAACGGAGACACGGUCCAGACGCCUACGGGAGGAAGCAGUGGGGAAUAUUGGAAAAUGGGCGCAAGCCUGAUCCAGCCAUACCGCGUGGGUGAAGAAGGCCUUCGGGUUGUAAAGCCCUUUUGUUGGGAAAGAAAUCCAUCUGGUUAAUACCCGGGUGGGAUGACGGUACCCAAAGAAUAAGCACCGGCUAACUUCGUGCCAGCAGCCGCCGUAA